AAUAAAAUAAAAUAAGAAUAAGAAUAAAAAUAAAAAUUGGCCUAAUUUAGACAAGACUCAAUAAGUUCAGACCUAAACCGAUUAUGGCCCAACGUCAAAUGGGCCCUCAUCAAAACCCAAUUGCAACUCAAAUGGGCCCUCUUGAGAAACCAAUUUCAAGCCCACUGAAUUAAAAUGAUGGGCUGUUUACAUUAAUUUCAGACUUAGAUAGAGAGAACAUAUAUAUGUUCAGGCCCAAAGCAUUUGUGGCCUAAUGCCAAAUGCAACCUGGCAACUCAAAUUAAAUGGUCCCUCUUCAACCCAAUUGCAAAUCAAAUGGGCCUUUUUUAAAACCCAAUUACAAGUCCAUUGAAUUAAAAUGAAUUAUAAAACCCAAUUGCAAACCGAAUUUGAAACUAUAAAAAAUUUCGAAUAAAUGAGGAAUGAGGUGUUUACAGUAAUUUCAAACUCAGAAAGAGAGAACAUAUGUAUGAAAAAGUAGCCGGCAGCUUGGGCUUCGUUGUUGUAAUUCAAUAACUUUUUAAGGUCAAAAGUUAAAUUAUAAAUAAGAUUUGGAAAUUAGUAAUGAAUAACAAUUGUUGUUGUAUCAAAAAUUGGUUAAGAAAUUUGUUAAUUUAAGCAUUGACUUCUAAGAUAUAGAGUAGUGCUAUUUGACCCUACAAGUUUCUCUCUUACUUGUCCCUCGUGAUAUGGUAAAAUUUAUUUAAUGAUGAGAUCGACCAAUUUAUGGUAGGCAAAAUUAUUCAUAAAUACGCUGUUUAAAUUUAAACCAAUGAAAAUUUGUUACAUCAAGAGAGAUAAAUAGUAGGGGCAGUAAGUUCAAGAAACAUUUUCCGUAUAUAUAAUCAUACACUAAUAAUGGAUCCAAUAUAAAAAGAAUAAAUGUGACUAAUGCUUGUAGUUAAUGCCAUUAUAUUGCAGGAGAUUUGCUCAAUUAUGGAGCUUGUAGGGCCAAUUAUUGAUGUGCUGAAGUGCUUAGGAGAUCCAACGUGCAGAUACAUAGACCAUCAUAGAAAACUUGAAGAAAGGAUGAAUGAUCUUCGAGCAGGAGAAGGCGAUCUAAAUAUUCGGAGGAGAGAUAUAGAAUUGACAAUAAAAGCAGAGCUUCGAUGGGGAAAAAUUGUAAAAGGAGAAGUGAAGAAGUGGCUUCUAGAUGUGCAAGAGAUCAAUGAGAAAAUACAGGCCAUGUAUCAAAGAGCGCAAAAUGUGUCUUGUUUUUCACGUGCAUGUCUAGGAAAACGUGUUGCUGAAAUAAUUGAACUAGUGCAGAAAACUUUUGAACGAGGUAAAUUCACUGGAGCUCUAGUAAUUGAUAAUCUAUCCACUGCUGGAGUGGCUGCUGAAUUGGAAUAUUUAGAAGGUGAGACCAUUGUGAAGGAAGAAAUUUGGAACUACUUGAUGGGUAAUGAAAUUGGAAUGAUUGGAGUUUGCGGAAUGGGUGGAAUGGGGAAAACUACUGUCAUGAAGCACAUAUACAAUCAGCUUUUGAAGGAAACUAAAGCUCCGUUUGCCAAUGUGAUUUGGGUCACUGUUUCGAAGGAACUCAACACCACCAAAGUGCAGCAGGUCAUUGCAAAUGCUCUGAAUAUUGCAUCUCUUCCGGAACCUGAACAAGAACGAGAACGUGUAGCAGUAUUAAUGGAAGAAUUGGGAAAAGGAAGAUAUGUAUUGAUUUUAGAUGAUGUUUGGAAAAAGUUCCCUCUCUCGGAGUUAGGGAUCCCUAAACCAACAUCGGGCAAUGGGAGUAAAUUGGUAUUAACUAGUAGAUCUAUUGAAGUUUGUAGGUCUAUGGACUGUGAGAUAGUCAAAGUGCAACCACUUUCAAACGAGGAGUCCAUGAAUUUAUUCUUAGAGCAUGUUGGACGUGGGGUUUUAGAAGUUCCCUCUUUAAAAGAAAUUUUAGGUCCUAUUGUUCGGGAGUGUGAUGGGUUACCCCUUGCCAUUGUUGUACUAGCUGGGAGUAUGAAGGGAAUAUAUGAUGUACAUGAAUGGAGCAAUGCAUUAAGAGAGUUACGUGAACAUGUAAGAACUGUGAAGGGCACAGAUGAGGAAAUAUAUGAACGAUUAAAAUUCAGUUAUGAUCGUUUGGUAGAUUCAAAAAUUCAAAACUGUUUUCUGUAUUGCUCAUUAUAUCCAGAAGACUAUAAAAUUUCAAGGAUGGAAUUAAUAGAACACUGGAUAGAUGAGGGAUUUCUUGAAAUUGGGAGUCGAAAAGUUCUCUAUAAUCUGGGUCAUACUAUAUUAAAUAGGCUUGAAAACAAUUGUUUGUUGGAAAAGGUUGACGAUAGAAAAGUGAAGAUGCACGAUGUACUGAGAGAUAUGGCGUUGUAUAUCAAAGAUCGUAGUCGUUUUAUGGUAAAAGCUGGCAUGGGAUUGAGAGAAUUACCAAGCAAGCAAGAAUGGGCAGAGGAUCUUGAAAAAGUUUCAUUGAUGAGGAACGACAUAUCAGAAUUUCCUCCGGACUUGUCACCCAAUUGUAAGAUUCUUUCAACCUUAUUUUUGCAAAACAAUGAGAACUUACAGUGGAUUCCAGAAUUGUUCUUUCAGCAUAUGCAUGGACUCUGCAUUCUCGAUCUUUCUUUUACCUGUAUUGAGCAACUGCCCGAUUCUGUGUCGAACUUGGAAAAGCUCAAUGCAUUGGUUCUUUUUGGAUGUCACAAGAUGAGAUACGUGCCUUCGUUAGAAAAGCUUAAGGCUCUGAGAAAGUUGGACCUCUGUUAUACAGCUAUUGAAAAGGUGCCUGAUGGUUUGGAAAUGUUGGCAAAUCUAACAUAUCUUAAUUUAUAUACAGAAUGCUUAAAGGAGCUUCCAAUUGCAAUUCUACCUAAGCUUUCUUGUCUGCAGUAUUUGGUAUUCUACGCUGAAUCAAGUACUUUAAAAAUUAAUGGAUCGGAAGCUGCCAGAUUAACAAAACUGGAGAUGUUUGAAGGGAGAUUUAAUGAGUUGAUGGACUUCAAUACGUACAGCCAGUCUAUACAAGGUCAAAGGCUUACUUCUUACUUGCUUGUCAUGGCACCAUUUGAAGCCAAGUUUGACGUCAUGCCACUUGAAGUGGAACGCUCAUUUCUUAUUUACAGACUCGUAAGCGGCGAGGAACUCGAUGACAAAAAAUCAGCAAAAAUACUACAAAUCGUGGCGGGAAUGGAAGGUACGAAAUCUGUGUCCUUAAACAGGGGUAUUAGAGAACUGAGAGUCGAUGGUGAGGUGGAACCUGCCAAAAUUGUAAAGAAAUUGGCAAAGAUAGGUGUCGAGAUCAGGGCUGUCCAGCCGAUGCUUCCAUAUCAUCUGUCCAAGAAAGAUGUGAUUUUAAGUGGGCGCCAGAUAGGAAGAGGAGAUCCUGUAGCACUCCCAAGUGACCUUAGGUGUCUAAGAAUUUUUGAGUGCCACAAUGUGAGAAGCUUAAGCGACAUUUCCUUCUUCCAACAAACAAAUGAGUUGAGGUUCUGUUCAAUUCAUGAUUGUAGAGGGAUAGAAUCUGUGCUUGACUUAUCAUCAUCGCCCUCACCAUGCACCCCAUUUCAGAACCUUGAGCUCUUGUGGCUUGAAAAUUUGGAUAACCUGCAUAUGCUUGUUAAAGUAGGAGAAGCAUGUGUUGUUCCUAUAUGGAGUUCUCUGCCUCGGCCAGGCAUCUUUUCCCAUCUUAAAUCAUUUCAGAUUGAAGGAUGCUCAAACAUGAAGCAUCUCUUUCCAUUUGAGUUAGUACAUGAUCUCCAAAACAUGGAGAAGCUGGUAGUUGGUAAUUGUCGACAAAUGGAGGAAAUAAUAGCAUCAGAAGAAGAGGAAGAAAAUCACAAGGGAAAAGGAACGUAUUCCGCCACAACGUUCACUUUUCCCAAAUUAAGAAAGUUCGAAUUGAAGAAAUUACCCAAGCUAAAGAGCAUCUGUAGUUCAAAUAGGAAAAUGACAUGCGACUCUCUUCAGGAUAUUGAAGUACGGAAAUGUCCGAAUCUAAAAAAGAUGCCUCUAUAUCUUCCUCUUUUCCAAGACACUGACCAACAAUCUUCUCAUCCUUUCAAGAGCAUUCGCGUAUAUCCAAAUGAAUGGUGGAAAUCAGUAGAAUGGGACUAUCCGAGUGCCAAAAAUGUUCUGCAACCUUGGUUGGUACUGGGAUGAAGCAAAGAGCUGCUGGAAGCCAUUCAAAUCAAAUUCCUCAAGCUAAAACAGUUGUUGCCAUUCUGAAGCUAGCAAAGCAGCUGACAAUUUAAUCUUGGAGAAACUCAUCACUGAGGGUUCAUUAAUUCUUCUGUUGUGCUUUUAUCUGCGAUGUAAUACUUCAUCAGAUGAAUCGUUCUUUUGUUGGUUUUAACUGUCAUAAACAUCAAUUUGGUUUUGAUCUGGUUGGACUGUUGAUGUUGCGAUUUUUUUUUUUAGUUAGCGGUUUGGGGGUUUUUGAGUUUUUUGACGUUGUGAUUUAACUUUGAACUUAAGUAUCUUAAUUUUAGUUGGGUGAUUUGGCUAUUUGAAUGUAUUUCAGGAUCUUAUAAAUUAAAGUUAUUCUAAGUUGUUGAUUUGUAGUUAAAUUAAAGUUAUUCUAAGUUGUUGAUUUGUAGUUUGAUAGUAGGAGUUUUGUGGUUGAUUUGUCGUUGACAUGUAGCACUGAUUCUACUGAAUUUAUUUGGCACAUGCUGUUUUGAUUGUCAUUUCUUCGACGGUCAACCUGUAGCUAUUUCAUGCAAACUUUUUUCAGGGAACUGUGCCACUGGUCUGAAGUCCUGUCAAAUCUCUGAUUGUGAGGAUAUGGAAUGAGCAUUUCAGUCAUCCUCAAGUCCACCACCUUAAAUCUUGGAGUUGCAAUUACUCACAGAUUUGGAUAAUGUACUUGUUUUCUACAGG
Durio zibethinus is the source of this 4833-nucleotide non-coding RNA. NCBI's taxonomy places the organism in Eukaryota, Viridiplantae, Streptophyta, Magnoliopsida, Malvales, Malvaceae. The record is from RefSeq and is a predicted model, not a curated record.